This is a long non-coding RNA of Antechinus flavipes (yellow-footed antechinus), 366 nucleotides long. RefSeq lists it as uncharacterized. The transcript is spliced from 2 exons. NCBI's taxonomy places the organism in Eukaryota, Metazoa, Chordata, Mammalia, Dasyuromorphia, Dasyuridae. The record is from RefSeq and is a predicted model, not a curated record.
ACAGAUAGUCCCCACCUGAUCUGUUCUACUGAGUAUGUAGUUCUCUAUAUUGCUGCCCUUGGGGUUAGACUAGUUGCUGCUGCUACUUCACUGAAUACUGUCCUGAUGAACAGAUUGGAUAAGUGUUGUUUCAUGGCCAUCCUUCAGCCAGGAUCAGAAGCUGCUGAACUAGUUUGUUCCAUUCUCUAUGAUCUUUGCGUUGCUGACAAAUAUAAGAUCGAAGCAAGAGUCAAAGAAGGAAUAACUCCAUUACAUCACUAAAAUAGAUCAUACUAUGAAGGAAGCUAAAGCUUUUCCCCAGGCAUGGAACUUCUGAUCUGUCCUUUCAAUCAAUCAUUCAAUCAAUAAAGAUUUAUUAAGCAUCUA